AAAUACUCAGACAUGCCAGAUCUGUCAUUUGUGGUCAUUUUUCAAGACUUUGAGUCCCGUUUCGGACCUGAUAUUGUCCGAAUUUGAUAAAAUGUAAAAUACGAAAGUUGUAGAACUUUCUGUUGGCUAUUCACAGCAUGUUGAAGCGUUGAAAUUGGAUCUCGAAUGAGAGAGAUACAAGUAAAUUACUCAGACAUGACAGAUUUGUCAUUUGUGGACAUUUUUCAAGUCCACAAAAUAUUGAAAUGAGAAAAUUGAUAAUUGAUCAUAAUCAAUUUAUGGCUUGAAGCCUAGAUCACAUUUUGAGACUAUAAGUCUCAAUAGAAUAUGAUAGACUCAAAGUUUAUGCG
Molecule: long non-coding RNA, 350 nt
Filed under: Erythranthe guttata (spotted monkey flower)
Lineage: Eukaryota; Viridiplantae; Streptophyta; Magnoliopsida; Lamiales; Phrymaceae
Description: long non-coding RNA (EGUT_LNC000123)
Source: RNAcentral